GACGAACGCUGGCGGUAUGCUUAACACAUGCAAGUCGAACGAGACGAGAUGGAAGUGCUUGCACGGAAAUCUUAGAAAGUGGCGAACGGGUGAGUAACGCGUGGGUAACCUGCCCUAUGGAAAGGAAUAGCCUCGGGAAACUGGGAGUAAUGCCUUAUAAUACAUUGAAGUCGCAUGGCUUUGAUGUUAAACGCUCCGGUGCCAUAGGAUGGACCCGCGUCCCAUUAGCUAGUUGGUGAGAUAACAGCCCACCAAGGCGACGAUGGGUAACCGGUCUGAGAGGGCGAACGGUCACACUGGAACUGAGACACGGUCCAGACUCCUACGGGAGGCAGCAGUGGGGAAUAUUGCGCAAUGGGGGAAACCCUGACGCAGCAAUACCGCGUGAGUGAAGAAGGUUUUCGGAUCGUAAAGCUCUGUUAUUGGGGAAGAAAAAAGACGGUACCCAAGAAGAAAGUCCCGGCUAACUACGUG
RNAcentral lists this ribosomal RNA (474 nucleotides) under uncultured bacterium. RNAcentral describes it as "bacterial SSU rRNA". It matches the Rfam family "Bacterial small subunit ribosomal RNA", at positions 28 to 507 of the family's 1533-position model. The record is from RNAcentral.